AUUCCAGGAUUCUGAGAUUAAGAGCAGGGAAAUUUUAGGGAUGUGAGUUUGUAGCCUGGCACCAGCCGUGCCAGAGCACCCAAAGGACGUCAGGAUGGUGGGAUGUGAGGAAUAUUCAGGAGCCAUUCCCUGGAAGCCUGGGUUUGCUCUCAGCCUGGUGACCUGAACAGUUCUCUGUGCCUCAGACAGGAAUAAUGGGAUGUAAAAUUGAAAACUUGGGAAAAUAAAUGUUAUCCUGCAGCAGCCACAGCCACGGGAUGCUCCGGGAGCUGUGGUGCUGGAGAGGAACUGAAGGAUUUGAAUUCAUUCCCCAGCUCAGCCAGAGGCUCCUCCUGGGAAUUUGGGUGCUUAAAUUCCCCAGCCUCAGCUCCACAUUUCCCAAAAGCAGCUCCCAGGUUCACAGAUAAGAUGAUUAAAGCAGCUUCGAGGCUUCAUCCCAUCACUCAAAGAAUUUGGAGCAAAGAUUCAUCCCUGUAACUUCCCGGAGAGAUCUGCCAAAGAAAAUCCAGCCUUGAAGGGUUCUGUUCGCUGAUGGAUGACAUUCCUGCUUCCCACCUCCUGCAACUGCAGAGCUGGAGCUGCUCAGCAAAUGUCAAAAUGGGACAAAAAAAAAAGAACAAAACAGAAGAGGAAGGAGAAGGGGGGACAAAAAUCCAAUUUCUGUCCUUAGGAAAGUUCUCAAGGAAAAAGAAAAGCCCCUUUCACAUUUUCUGCUUCUGUGCAGGGGGCAAAGUGUAGGGUGGGGGGUUUUAAAUAGGAAUUGUUUAUUCCUGUUUUGUAUCUCUGCCACCUGGGGUGUUUUUAAAAGAAUUCCCAGCAGGUCUCUCCUCUCCCUCAGCUUCCUCAGCUCCCUGGGCACCCUCAUCUCCCUCACCAUGCUCACCAGCCUCAUAUCCCUCAUCUUCCUCAUCACCCUCAUCUUCCUCAUCUCCUUCAUCUCCUUCAUCUCCCUCAUCUCCCUCAUCUUCCUCAUCUUCUUCAUCUUCUUCAUCUCCUUCAUCUCCCUCAUCACCCUCAUCUCCCUCAUCUCCUUCAUCUUCCUCAUCUCCUUCAUCUUCCUCAUCUUCUUCAUCUCCCUCAUCUUCCUCAUCUCCCUCAUCACCCUCAUCUUCCUCAUCUUCCUCAUCUCCCUCAUCUCCCUCAUCUUCCUCAUCUUCCUCAUCUCCUUCAUCUUCCUCAUCUCCUUCAUCUUCCUCAUCUUCCUCAUCUCCCUCAUCUUCUUCAUCUCCCUCAUCACCCUCAUCUUCUUCAUCUUCCUCAUCUCCCUCAUCUCCUUCAUCUUCCUCAUCUCCCUCAUCACCCUCAUCUUCCUCAUCUCCUUCAUCUUCCUCAUCUCCUUCAUCUUCCUCAUCUUCCUCAUCUCCCUCAUCUUCUUCAUCUCCUUCAUCUCCUUCAUCUCCUUCAUCUCCAUCUCCCUCAUCUUCAUCUCCUUCAUCUCCCUCCUCUCGCUCUCCUCACUCUCUCUUUUCCUCCCCAGCCCUCGAGGACGCUGUGGAGCCGAAGGAGAACCCCGGGACGGGGCAGGACCCGUCCAACCCCGGGAAUUCUCUUGGAACCUCCGUCCCUGCGGAGCCCAUCCCAGCCCCACCCUCGGAGGAGCCCAUCCCCAGCAGAGACCCUCAGGAGGCGAAGGAUCCCAGCCCCACCAGCUCCCCGCCGUGGCCAGCGGCUCCCGAGGAGCCCCCGGCGCGCCCCAACACCCUGGACUUCUCCAAAGGGACACCCGAGGCACAUCAGGAAUGGCUGAAGAGGAAAUUUCUGGAAUGUCAGGACACAGCCCCUUGGAAUGGUUUAUUCCCAUGUCCAAACAGAGAACGGGAUCAGAGUCCCAGCGAGGAGGAAAGGAUGGAUCUCUGCUUUAACACAUCCCGGGAUUUCAUUGAUCUCUCCCAGAGGGAAUCUGCAGCCUGAGCUACUGCAAAUAAACCCAUUUUUAACUCUGCUGCA
Molecule: long non-coding RNA, 1947 nt
Filed under: Parus major (Great Tit)
Lineage: Eukaryota; Metazoa; Chordata; Aves; Passeriformes; Paridae
Description: lncRNA (ENSPMJG00000012272.1)
Source: RNAcentral